GAUGAAGAACGCAGCGAAAUGCGAUAAGUAAUGUGAAUUGCAGAAUUCAGUGAAUCAUCGAAUCUUUGAACGCACAUUGCGCCCGCUAGUAUUCUGGCGGGCAUGCCUGUUCGAGCGUCAUUUCAACCAUCAAGCCCCCCGGGCUUGCGUUGGGGUUCCUGCGGCCGCCCGCAGGCUCCGAAAUGCAGUGGCGGCCUCGCUGGCACACCGAGCGCAGUAAAGCAUCUCGCUCCGGGCGUGGCAGCGGGCGCUGGCCGUGAAACACCAAGACUUUUACAAGGUUGACCUCGGAUCAGGUAGGAAUACCCGCUGAACUUAAGCAUAUCAAUAAGCGGAGGGA
This 340-nucleotide unclassified non-coding RNA is filed under the name soil metagenome. RNAcentral's name for it is "partial contains 5.8S ribosomal RNA, internal transcribed spacer 2, and large subunit ribosomal RNA". The stretch from base 1 to 120 matches the Rfam family "5.8S ribosomal RNA", at positions 35 to 154 of the family's 154-position model. The record is from RNAcentral.